Molecule: ribosomal RNA, 235 nt
Filed under: uncultured bacterium
Lineage: Bacteria
Description: partial 16S ribosomal RNA
Rfam family: Bacterial small subunit ribosomal RNA
Source: RNAcentral
UAGGGAAUCUUCCACAAUGGACGCAAGUCUGAUGGAGCAACGCCGCGUGAGUGAAGAAGGCUUUCGGGGUCGUAAAAACUCUGUUAUUGAAGAAGAACGUGUGUGACAGUAACUGGUCAUGCAGUGACGGUAUUCAAUCAGAAAGUCACGGCUAACUACGUGCCAGCAGCCGCGGUAAUACGUAGGUGGCAAGCGUUGUCCGGGUUUAUUGGGCGUAAAGCGAGUGCAGGCGGUC